Molecule: long non-coding RNA, 1560 nt
Filed under: Mus musculus (house mouse)
Lineage: Eukaryota; Metazoa; Chordata; Mammalia; Rodentia; Muridae
Description: alncRNA-EC7
Source: RNAcentral
GUGUGCAUACAUGGGGGUCCAUUCCCCCAAGACUAGGCUAGGCUGGGAGAGGAGGUGGAAGGUCUGUACGGAGCAGGUCCCGGUAGUCCUUGACAGCUGUUCUCUGGGCUCUCCCAUCUGCACUGGGAAAGAGAGCCUCCAGGCUGGUGAGCUGUGCUCAGUGGCUGACUGAGCGCCUUUAGUAAGCUGUUUACAUCUCUGCUGAAUCACAGGAGGGAAUCCCGGUUCACUCUUGGGAGUUUUGCCACCAAAAUGUUGCAGGACUUUAUGUCGUGGAGGUCCCCAGGGACUCUGAGCGUCUGUAUGUUUACCCCACUCUCCCCCACCCAGUCUUAGCUUGGCUUUUGUGCUUUUGUGUCUCUUUCUGUGGCUCCUAGCACUCAUCAGCAUGAGUAAAGCAAACGCUUGCUGACUGACACCUGGAUGGAUAAAGGAACCAAUUCCUGUCACAAGAGUGGAAGCUAAACAAGCCUUCAGCCUGUUUUCUGAGCCUAUGAAAGACGGAGGCACAGGGACUGAAGGAACGGAGUUGAGGUUUCACCUUCGAGGGUUCCCCAGACCCGACCCACCAGCUGCGAUUGAGAUGGGCACAGCUCAGGGCUCCAGUUUGAGACACUCCACUGCCUGGGCUCAGGAGCUCAAGAUCGAGAGGAUUUUGUUGAGCGCCCGCCUGAGCGUACCUCCACUUCCCUGAGCAAAGGCAGCAAGAGCUACUGGUCUGAGGGUCAGCGGGGCGUGCCUGCCACCACCACCACCAACUGAGGCUCUCUCCUAAAAUGACACUCACACCCGUUCUCCACCAAGCUUCUCUGGGCCUCGUCCUUCUACCUCACAACCUCUUGAACUUGAACCUUUAGAGACUUCUGGAAAUUCUGUUAAGGUCACACAGCUAGUGGGAAGGCAAGCUGGCUCAAAGCCAGUGUGUUAAGCUUUUUCCCCUAGACAUACACAGGGCAGGGAACACACCCAUAGGCUUGGGCUCUGUGACUCUGCCAUCAGCUGUCAGGUUGAGGACCUCAAACAUCUGGCUCAGCAGAUACGACAGAUCAAGUGGGGCUGCAGCUGUUCUGAAGGGAGGGGCUGUCCCUCCUGUUAGGGUGUGACCCUUUUCUAGGAGAACUCGGGUUUUUUCAUCAAUAUAGGCAGGGAGAAAAUUUUCUCAACAAGGAAGGGGUCCUUAUGGGCUGGGAGGGGGGGCCUGGACAGACAGGGUUGGGUCAGCCAGAGACAGGAAACCUAGGGGAUUCCAAGGAAGGGCAGGGACAGGACAGAGGAGGCUGGUCACAUAAGCCUUCUUCGGCCCUCAGGUGUCCAACACUGCCUUUUCCACAGAUAGUCACUGGAAAGUAAGUCAUAUCAGAUACAUAUCCUUUUGCCUUAGCCUCCAAGGUCCACACAAGGCCCUCAGGUGAGCAACAUCUGUCUCCCCCAGAGAUGUUUACUAGGAAAUUGGAUGUAUCAGAUGUACAACCUUUGCCAGGUUCAGGGCUCUGUCACUAGUGAUGUCAAUACCAACUGCUAUUUCAGUUUAAUUUUUUUCUUUUUCUCUUAUUCACACAC